AGUGAACGCUGGCGGUAGGCCUAACACAUGCAAGUCGAACGGCAGCACAGUAAGAGCUUGCUCUUACGGGUGGCGAGUGUCGGACGGGUGAGGAAUACAUCGGAAUCUACUUUUUCGUGGGGGAUAACGUAGGGAAACUUAUGCUAAUACCGCAUACGACCUACGGGUGAAAGCAGGGGAUCUUCGGACCUUGCGCGAUUGAAUGAGCCGAUGUCGGAUUAGCUAGUUGGCGGGGUAAAGGCCCACCAAGGCGACGAUCCGUAGCUGGUCUGAGAGGAUGGUCAGCCACACUGGAACUGAGACACGGUCCAGACUCCUACGGGAGGCAGCAGUGGGGAAUAUUGGACAAAGGGCGCAAGCCUGAUCCAGCCAUACCGCGUGAAGGAAGAAGGACUUCGGGUUGUAAAGCCCUUUUGUUGGGAAAGAAAAGCAGCAGGUUAAUACCCCGCUGUUCUGACGGUACCCAAAGAAUAAGCACCGGCUAACUUCGUG
Molecule: ribosomal RNA, 492 nt
Filed under: uncultured bacterium
Lineage: Bacteria
Description: partial 16S ribosomal RNA
Rfam family: Bacterial small subunit ribosomal RNA
Source: RNAcentral